RNAcentral lists this ribosomal RNA (493 nucleotides) under Diemeniana tillyardi. RNAcentral's name for it is "partial large subunit ribosomal RNA". The record is from RNAcentral. Lineage: Eukaryota; Metazoa; Arthropoda; Insecta; Hemiptera; Cicadidae.
UUAAAAGUCUAAUCUGCCCAAUGAUAAAUAAUUAAAUGGCCGCGGUAAAUUGACCGUGCAAAGGUAGCAUAAUAAAUAGUCUUUUAAUUGGAGGCUUGAAUGAAUGAUUGGAUGAGAAAUUAACUUAAUUAAUAUUAACGAUUGAAAUUAAUUUUUAAGUAAAAAAGCUUAAAUAAUUGAGUGGGACGAGAAGACCCUAUAGAAUUUUUAAAAUUUUUUUUAAUUUAUUUAUUUUAGUUAAUUAAUUCUUUCUAUUUCAAAAAUUUUUUUGUUGGGGUGAUGUUAAAAUAAAAUUAACUUUUAAUAAAAAUUUCAUAAGUAUAUGUAAAUAUUGAUCCAAAUUUUUGAUUAUAAGAAUAAAUUACCUUAGGGAUAACAGCGUAAUUAAUUUGAAGAGUUCUUAUCGAUAAAUAAGAUUGCGACCUCGAUGUUGGAUUAAGAAUAGAAAUUGGAGCAAAAUUUAUUAUUUCUAGGUCUGUUCGACCUUUAAUAU